GGGGGGGGGGGACUCUGUGGGGAAACCGUCAUCAUCAUCAUCAUCAUCGUUGUUUUUAGUCUCGGACUCAAACAUGGAAGGUGGCCUUUGAUCUUCCUCACCGGAGACUUAAACUCACCUGGAAAUGAGAAUCGGGACCCUAAAACAGGAUAAACUGCCUGGAACAAUCCUCUAACCUCUACCUACCACUAACCACCUGCCAGUAGUGACCCUCACUGUGUUUCCAAGUACUCAGUCGCUCAUCUGCUUCCCAGCUUAUAUAUUCACCCAGUCUCAUCUGCCUGUUCCCGGUUCUGUUUGAGCUCACUGAUCUGGUGCCAAAAGCAAACUAUUUCAUCAUUUAAACCGCUCUGACUCUCACUUCUGUGUUUGAGCCCGUAUUUCUGUGUGCAUGGCUGUUACAGUUUUUACCAACUGCUUACACACAAAAUAUUUUCAUGUCACACGAUUUUUGAAACCUCUCACUCAAAGUGCAAAACUACACCCCAAAUCUUCAAAACCAUACGUUAUUUCUCAGCCUUUGACUCAGUUUUCAAUUGCAUAAAACACUUUUUUUCAAAACACACUACACACAAUUCUCUACCUGCUGCUUUAGUGGGCUUAUAAAUAGGUCAAAAGUCAGAUUACCUGGUUUGAACAAUGGAUGCUAACAAUGAACAGAGAGGAAGAGGCAGGGGACAACGAGGACAAAUACCAAGAGGAGGAAGAGGAGGAAGAAGAGGAAGAAGAGGAGGAGGAGGUGGAAGAAGAGGAGGAGGAAGAAGAGGAGGAAGAGGACGAGGGCAAAUAAGAGAAGGAAGGAGAGCCAUCUCUGAUGAGAUUAGGGCAACACUUGUUGAUCGUGUAAUCAACCACGGUUUGACCAUGAGAGAGGCUGGACUGAGAGUCCAGCCCAACUUGAGUCGAUUUACAGUGGCGUCCAUAAUUCGAACCUUCAGAAAUGAGAACAGCCUGUCGACCAUACAACGCAUCCUGCAACGGCACCAAGUGAUGAAACAACUUUAUAAGGUGCCAUUUGAGAGAAACUCAAGUCAGACCCAGUCAAGAAUCUGUGACAUGACUUUGUAGAGGUUGGAUACGUCAUGCUAGGAGAUACUUCCCUCGAUGUUUGGCAAGAGGAAACGUAUCUUGUGAUGUGGACUAAGUAUUGUGGCCAGACCCUGCUCGGAGAAGAGAUGAAGCUUAGCACUGGGGACUGCACCCCUCUCCCCCCCUGCCAAUUCCUCGACCGGGACCCCACAUACAAUUUACUGUAUUCUACUGUAAAGAAUAUACUUUUGGUUUACAUGUUUAUAGUUUUAUUGUAUGCUAAUGUAUACAACAGUAAUGUUUGGC
Molecule: long non-coding RNA, 1335 nt
Organism: Gasterosteus aculeatus aculeatus (three-spined stickleback)
Lineage: Eukaryota; Metazoa; Chordata; Actinopteri; Perciformes; Gasterosteidae
Source: Ensembl